ACGUACACUCCUACGGGAGGCAGCAGUGGGGAAUAUUGGACAAUGGGCGCAAGCCUGAUCCAGCCAUGCCGCGUGAGUGAUGAAGGCCCUAGGGUUGUAAAGCUCUUUCACCGGUGAAGAUAAUGACGGUAACCGGAGAAGAAGCCCCGGCUAACUUCGUGCCAGCAGCCGCGGUAAUACGAAGGGGGCUAGCGUUGUUCGGAUUUACUGGGCGUAAAGCGCACGUAGGCGGACUAUUAAGUCAGGGGUGAAAUCCCGGGGCUCAACCCCGGAACUGCCUUUGAUACUGGUAGUCUUGAGUUCGAGAGAGGUGAGUGGAAUUCCGAGUGGAGAGGUGAAAUUCGUAGAUAUUCGGAGGAACACCAGUGGCGAAGGCGGCUCACUGGCUCGAUACUGACGCUGAGGUGCGAAAGCGUGGGGAGCAAACAGGAUUAGAAACCCGAGUAGUCCCAUGAU
Molecule: ribosomal RNA, 456 nt
Filed under: uncultured organism
Description: partial 16S ribosomal RNA
Rfam family: Bacterial small subunit ribosomal RNA
Source: RNAcentral